GUCACUGGGUCCCUCUUAGCUAUUUCCGCCUGGCAACACGGUAGAGAGAGAGAGAGAGAGAGAGAGAGAGAGAGAGAGAGAGAGAGAGAGAGAGAGAGAGAGCAACGUCGAUGUUUAAACCUGUAGAUUGCUUGUGUCCUCGUCCUCUCGAUCUCUCUCUCCCUCUCUCUCAUUCGUUUUUACUACAAGGGAAGAUCAAAGAGGCUCAUGUUUAUUACGGGUCAGUUGCUCAUCUCUGCAUCUCUAUCACUUCAUCUCUCAGACAACGUGAACAGCUGCUAGACAUUCAACAGGGCGAGACAGUUUUUGCACCGAACGCCGCAUAAAAUAGCUCGCAAAUUUGGCUUCCUUUCCUCCCUCUCUCUGUUUAUCCUCCUUGCUUACAUAAUUAUCCUUCCUGCCUACUUUCCUCUCUCCCUGAAUCUCCUCUUUGUUUAUCUUUACAUACUGACCUUCCUUCUGUCCCUUUUUCUCUUCAUUGUUUAUAUAAUUCUCUCUCUUGCCUACUUUCCUUUCAUCUCUUUCUGUUUGUCCUCUGUGCUUCCCUCCUACCUCCUUCCUGCCUUAUAAUUAUGCUCCUCUUUCUCCUUGUUGUAUAUAUAAUUCUCAUAUCUAAUUCUGUUCCUCUAUUAUUUGUUUACCCUCUUGUUAAUUUACUUUAUCUGUCUACCUUCCCAAAAUGAUGUACCUCUCUCUCAUCGUUUAUAUAAUUAUCUUCCCUAUCUUGUCCUACUUUCUCUGUCCUCAUUCUCAUUGCUUACAUAAUUCCCCUACAUUCUCUCUCUCUCUCUCUCUCUCUCUCUCUCUCUCUCUCUCUCUCUCUCUCGGGAUGUUAUUAGUGCCAAGAAUAAUAGAGCAUAAUCCUUUAUUAGUUAUGCAUCCUGGAAUAUAAUACACAGUGGGGCUUUCAUACAUUCAAGAACUACUCGCUGUGUCGUCGCGUGUGUGUGUGUAUCCCAUGUGUUCAGGAUACCUUCAUUUGCAUGCUAAUUCAUAACCUUAUACGAUAUGUAGGUCAGAGGAGUAAGUUCCCGGUGCCCCAUGCCAGGAAAAUGAGCGAAGAGGUUACGUAAUGAGAGAGAGAGAGAGAGAGAGAGAGAGAGAGAGAGAGAGAGCGUGUAUCCUUCAACCUCCCAAAGCAUCCGCCUACCAUCGCCUCAUCCCACAAUGGUUCAGUCACCCCUCCAUUACGUUCCUCCAAUACCCUGUCACGCCUCAAAAUACAUGUCACACUGUACACCAGACACACACCUUCCUUUUGAGCAUAAAAUUAAACCACGAUACCCUUUGGAAGUGUUCUUAUAUUAUCGAAAUGUAAAGUUUGGUGUGGGUUUUGAGCAGCUGAUGUUCCCUUUCUCCUCCUCCUUCUCCUCCUCCUCCUCCUCCUCCUGCCACUACUACUACGAUUAUUAUUAAAGUGUAAUAUAUAGACCCGGAGGAGAGCAAAUACUAUAAGCUACAACGUCUGCAAUCCUGACUCACCUAACACGCAGAUAAUUAAGGAGGGAGGAAGGAAGGAGAAGAGGAAGACGAGGACUAAAAGAAGUGAAAUUGAGAUGAAAAGGUGAUAUGAAGCGAUGAGAUGAGAGAUGUAAGAUAAACAAGAGAAGGGAAAGAAGGGAGAAACAAGAGAUAUAAAGGGAAUAAAGUCGAAGAGAAUUAAAGAACGGAAUUAAAAUAAGCUCUGGCAAAUGGCGUGAGGUAUUUAAAUAUUUUCUCCUUCCUUAUAUAACCGUCUCCACGCAUCCUAGCAACACUGGAAGGUAGAUAAAAGCUUCUGCUAUGCUUUACGUGAAUAUAAACACACAUAUCAUGGCCAAAAAGACUUAUAUUAGAGGAUGAAGUAGGAAAGUAUGGUGGAAUUUAGCUGUUUGAAAGUACUUUGGAAAAUACACUAAUGAUUCCCUUCCUAUAUAGCAACACUGGAAGGUCGGUAAAGGCUUCUGCUAUGCUUUAAGUUAACAUAAACACACAAUCAUGGCCAAAAACACUUAUAUUAGAGGAUGAAGUAGAAAAGUAUGGUAGAAUUUAGCAGAAGCACUUUGGAAAAUACACUAAUGAUUCCCUUCCUAUACAGCAACAGUGGAAGGUCGGUAAAGGCUUCUGCUAUGCUUUAAGUUAACAUAAACACACAUCAUGGCCAAAAAAGACAUAUUAGAGGAUGAAGUAGAAAAGUAUGGUAGAAUUUAUCCGUUUGUAAAUACUUUGAAAAAUACACUAAUGAUUCCCUUCCUAUAUAGCAACACUGGAAGGUCGGAAAAGGCUUCUGCUAUGCUUUAAGUUAACAUAAACACACAUCAUGGCCAAAAAAACAAAAAAAAAAAGACAUAAUAGAGGAAAAAGUAUAAAAGUAUGGUAGAAUUUAUCCGUUUGUAAAUACUUUGAAAAAUACACUAAUGAUUCCCUUCCUAUAUAGCAACACUGAAAGGUAGAUAAAAGCUUCUGCUAUGCUUUAAGUUAACAUAAACACACAAUCAUGGCCAAAAACACUUAUAUUAGAGGAUGAAGUAGAAAAGUAUGGUAGAAUUUAUCCGUUUGUAAGUACUUUGAAAAAUACACUAAUGAUUCCCUUCCUAUAUAGCAACACUGGAAGGUCGGUAAAGGCUUCUGCUAUGCUUUAAGUUAACAUAAACACACAAUCAUGGCCAAAAAAAAGACAUAUUAGAGGAAAAAGUAUAAAAGUAUGGUAGAAUUUAUCCGUUUGUAAGUACUUUGAAAAAUACACUAAUGAUUCCCUUCCUAUACAGCAACAGUGGAAGGUCGGUAAAGGCUUCUGCUAUGCUUCAAGUUAACAUAAACACACAAUCAUGGCCAAAAACACUUAUAUUAGAGGAUGAAGUAGAAAAGUAUGGUAGAAUUUAGCAGAAGCACUUUGAAAAAUACAUUAAUAAUUCCCUUCAGAGCCCCCGUCAGGCAAUGCACCUGUGACCUAAUUAAGCCUAAAGCAUCCUUCUAUUAUUCACGUGAGGGCCAGUGAGGAUGGAGGCUCCGUUGAGGGUAAAAAAUAAGGUAAAUG
Long non-coding RNA from Eriocheir sinensis (Chinese mitten crab), 3016 nucleotides. RefSeq lists it as uncharacterized. The transcript is spliced from 4 exons. The record is from RefSeq and is a predicted model, not a curated record. Lineage: Eukaryota; Metazoa; Arthropoda; Malacostraca; Decapoda; Varunidae.